ACAAUUUAUAUAUAAUGGAAGUCAGGCAUUAACGGCAAUGCCACGUGUUGGUCUAUGUAAGCUGAGGGCCGACGGACACACGGUUUAUAUAAACUGUGGGCCGAGCAGCACAGUUUACAUAUAACCCGGGUAUUCUGUUUAUAGCACUCGGUAAAGCUUAAUUUGCAAAACAGAAAAAAAAAUCAGUUUGCGUGCGGGAUGAGAUGGGCGAGCGCCGGGCGAGCACGGCCGGUCUGAAUCCUCCGGCGAGCGAGCGUGGGUGGCGAGCUCUCUGUCGGCCUGCAUCCGAGCGAUGGAAGAGCUUCCUGACCACAGGAGGAGGCGAGGGAGAGGUUGCGUGCGCAUCGCGUCCGAGCCGACCAGGCCCUAGAGACACCGGACGCCGUCGUGCUCCGACGACCCGCGCCGCCCUUCGCGAGCCCUCUCCGCCCCGCGCCGUCCAGCCCUUCUCCUGCCCUCCGUUGUAGCCCAUCCAAUCGGACCGACGCGUGCCGCUGCCGCAGCGCGGCCGCCUGCGGCGCCCACAACAACACCUUGGCGCGCCGGAGAGGAGCCCCGACGGGAGCGGCGGCUAGGACUCCCUCGACUGCGACCAGAGGAACAGCACGCCGGAGGCCUCCAUCCCAGCGGGAGCUCGCGCAGGUCCUCCUGUCAUCCUACCACGGCGCAGGCGGGUGGCCGUCGAGCCAGGCGAGGCAUCCGUAAGGUUGGUGCAGGACUCGCAAGGGUACUGAGAGGAGGUGGAAGGGGCCGACGAGGAGGCACUCGGGGAGCUCCGCGUCCGUGGCAAAACGGGCGAGGAGCACCAGCGGCGAGGCGAGCGACAGGAGGGCGUCGACGGCUGUGUGUUGUGUGCGGCUGAGAAAAC
Molecule: ribosomal RNA, 868 nt
Filed under: Triticum aestivum (bread wheat)
Lineage: Eukaryota; Viridiplantae; Streptophyta; Magnoliopsida; Poales; Poaceae
Description: partial small subunit ribosomal RNA
Source: RNAcentral